GUCUAAGACUAUCCCAAACUCCCAACAUUCGGGCCCUAACCAAAAACUGCUUUUCCUUCAUUUUCUUUGAAGUGGAAGGUGUGUCAACUAGCUGGUCUGUUAAGUGAGUUCCAAGUGGAGCUUUUCCUAUAAUGUAUGUGACCUUCUCUCCAUACCCCUGGCUGGAUGGACAACAUUAACGUAUCAAUGGAGAGUGUUUUCAAACCUGUGAAAGAGGGUGUCAAGGCUUUGGCAAACUUGUAAGCAAAGGCUGGAGUAUUGUUUUGUUUGACGUCUAGCAAGUUGAGUAGAGAAAUAUUAUUCAUGCCAGGACAAGAAAUGGAAGCCAGCCCCAAAUCCAAGGGAAGGAGGAUUCUUCCCCAUUCAAAGGCUGAGACCCAGAAGUUUGGGGAGAAGGUGAUCCCCUGUCAAGAUUCCAGAUGCACAGCUUCCCCACAUCGCCCCCAGCCUAUGCAAGCUUAUUAUACACACACCCUCUACCAAACCAACACCUUCAAGAUAUCAGAGAAUGAUAAUGAAAUGAUCAGAUAAACCAGAGUGUGCUUAUGUAUUUUCUACUAAAAUGGUUACCUCUCCCAUUAGAUAAUGCUUUAAAAUGAUUUUACACUACAGAUGUCCCUUAAAUUAUUGGAAUUCAAGGCACAGCUCCAGAAAGAGAUUUGGAAGAGAAAGAACCUCUGAGUGCCCUCAGUUCACCUCAGUUGAGCUGGGUUGUUCCUGAGAUAGAUGAGUACCUAACUCGCACAUACGUAAGAUUAGCCCCCAAAUGUGGUGGAACCUCUGUGAUCAAAGAGAACUGACUGCAUAUUUGUUAUCAAAAUGAGGGUGGGGGUCUCUCAAAGCACCCCCAGCUUGUACAUCGCAUAUAUUACCCACAUCUAAGGCAACCAACUUACAGCAUUCCUCUAGCCACAAUUACUGGUUCACAAGGGAAUUCAUCUAUUCAACAAAUAUUUACUGAGCAUUUACUAUGUAUCAGGCAUUGUUGCAGGCACUGGAGAUACAGCAAACAACAAAAUGGACAAGAUCUCUGUCCUCAUGCCUCCUACACUAUGGUGAGACUAUAAAUAAAUA
Molecule: long non-coding RNA, 1074 nt
Organism: Manis javanica (Malayan pangolin)
Lineage: Eukaryota; Metazoa; Chordata; Mammalia; Pholidota; Manidae
Source: RefSeq, a predicted model, not a curated record